Molecule: RNA transcript, 488 nt
Organism: Pseudopodoces humilis (Tibetan ground-tit)
Lineage: Eukaryota; Metazoa; Chordata; Aves; Passeriformes; Paridae
Gene name: neurobeachin-like protein 1
Source: RefSeq, a predicted model, not a curated record
UUAGCUGCUUCUACCACUCUCAACUUAGAGCACAGAUUCCUGAUACCAGAUUUCCAUGGAAACUUACAAACAAAACCACACAGGCAUCUGUUGUGCAUAAGAUGUUUCUGAGGACUCUCUCGACCGCCUUCUGAUUCUGCGUACACCUUACAACUCCUUCAGAGAAAUAUCCAGAUUACCUGAAGCUCUGGUUGGAUAGUUUUGUGUCUAGCUAUGAACAGUUUCUGGAUGUGGACUUUGAGAAGCUGCCAGCAAGGGUGGAUGACAUUCCGCCAGGAAUAUCGCUGCUUCCUGAUAACAUUCUUCGGGUCCUCAGGCUCCAGUUGCUACAGUGUGUCCAGAAGAUGUCAUAUGGCCUGGAAGAGCAGCAGCAGACUCUGUCACUUUUACUUGUGAAAUUCUUCAUCAUCCUUUGCAGAAUCACUGAAACCUCCAAACAACCAUAGAUGAUAUCCUUGUGGAAGGAGAUGAAAAAGAAGCAAUAAAAA